CGUUAUGAUUAUGCAUGAUUUAUAGUGUUUUCCAACCAGAGUUGUUCCUUUAUUGGCUAAUAUCAAUGAGAAGUAUAUGUAGCUUAUCCCAACCUCUUGAAGGUUAUGUUCUUCUAUUUUUUUUUGUCUUGGACUGCACACAAUGUUUUCUUUGUCUUUACAUCUUGUUUUCACUGGUCCCCGUUUUUCUUGUGCAGUUAUCUUAAUUUCCCUGUAAAUGUUCAUUUGGGCAAUUAUAAUCCCAGCUUCUUCAAGGUUUAUUUUGAUUUCCUUCUUGUUUCCCCUCGCCUCUAUCUUUUCCCGUGCAAUUAGUCAGGUUUUUUCGUGAAGCAAGGUUGCAUGAGAUUUCUAACUAGCCACAUUAUGAAUUUAUUUCUAUCUUUUCACUUUUAGCCUUGAAUACAGACUACAAUUAACAAGAACACAGUACCACGUUUGAUUCCAUUCUUUCUUAAAAGAGGCUUUUCUUCUGCCGAAUUACGAUUUCAGCUUUCAGUCAAGAACAAACUGAAUUUUGUUUUCCUUGAAGCAUCAUGAACUGAUGUUUUGUGUUGCUUAUUAUGAUUCUGAACUGAUAUGUCUCUUGCUUCCUGCAUCCAGAUAUGAUGCCACUGCAACUGCUCAUGUGCAAAAUUUACUCUGUUUCACAUUGCACUAUCAUCAUUGUCACUCCAUGAGUAUUAGUUGAGGAAAGUGGGGUUCGGAACUCUAGCAGAGCAACUGAAGAAAAGUGGUGUUUCAGCUGAUGGAGAAUCAAACUUAAACCGAUGGACGGAGCUCCGUUAGGAGGAUGGCAUAUCUCGGUUUGUGUACACCACCUGGGUUCAUGUGCGGUGGACAAUGGUUCGAGCAACCCUGAUGGACCAUGGUUUCUGCCGAGCGACCAGCAAAAGGUAUGAGCUCGUGUUAUUAUUGCAGAUCAGCAUCUGCCAUGACGGCGCUUGUUUUGGUGCGUGGUGGCGGGUCUGCUCGGCGAAAGUUGGACGUCCUACUCCGGCGAAGAUUUUGUUAUGAUGGUUUUGCUAUGCCGCGAUGCUUUGCUCAGAGCUCAUGGAUCAUGCAUGAAGAAAUGAGGAGCAUUCUGUUGCCCAAAUGUGGUCCAAGUGGGGUGUUAUGAUGGGAUGCUGCUCUUACAGUAUUUUUGGGCCAUUGGCAUACAAUCAGGGAGAUAUUGAAGCCCUAAAGCUGUAAGCUUACACAAAUAAAGACGGUAAUGACCAGUUACAUAAGUUUGUUACUUUGGUUAUUUGCCUAAUAAACAUGCCUACCAAUGUUUAUUCCAGUCAAAUGCAAGACAAGCUAAGACAACUCAUGUAGCCAGAAGAUAUUUUAUUCGCUUUCCCCUUCCGUUGCUUCUCUUGUUUAUCUAUCUCCCCUUCCUAAGAUCUAGAAGUAUUGUAAAGAAGAUCCAGAAGAACUAUGUCAAAGAUUAUUCAAAGUUUGCAUUCGCCUGGCUCGAUGGACGAAGAACUGUUUGCAGAUCUCCUCAUAGUUAGAUUUCUCUUUGAUUCCCAUCAAAAAAAUUUAUGAUCCUCAGCUCAUCAGUCAAACAAUUGGAUCUCAGUUCGACAUUUCCGCAAGCUAUAUUGAGACGUUCCAAUUUUUGUACACUUGGCAGAUUUCCAUCGUCAUCUGCAGACAUUGUGUGCUGCAGCAGGCAUCCCAUUAGAUCAUCUGGUGAAUGGCCGUGAGGUGCACGUGGAUGUGGGACUCUACCUAGACCUUGACCGACACCCCUUUCUCGUUGGGUUUUCUUCAUUUGGUUUGGUUCUUUGUUAUGCAGAUCUGGAUUCAAUAAUUUUGGGACAUUAUUAGGUUGAUUAGUACCUUGCCGUUCAGAUCGGCGAGGGUUUGUGUAUGAAGCAUUCGUAGUUGGUCAGUAGCUUCUACUGAAGGACAUCCGCCAUCAUGAGGCUCAAACCUCCCAAGCAUCAGACGGAAACACUACAUGGACAAUAGGAAUAUUGCAAUGAAGUCGAUUGCUUGAAGAUGAUGGUGCAGCUCUAAACACUAUGUGUGAAAAUCUGAGAAAGAAAAGAAGUGGAAGAAUCUCACGGAAGAGUUUCAUGAAGGAGAACAAGGAAUCUGAAAGAUUUGUGCAGAGGGCCUCAACCUGGUUUCAUGGUCGAGCUCUCAACAGCUGCUGCUCCUAAUCCUUAAUGACCACAUUGACACCCGCGUCGUCACUGCUGCAACAUUCUGCAGCACUGAUAUUGACCUCUCCACUUCUGUCAUGCCCUGUACGGAGCCAUCGGCUGCCUCUCAUCCCCUCCAGUUUACCCGCUUCCACAAUUCCUUCACUCUUGAGAAACUAAGAGCAAGAGGCGUUUCGUUUCUUUGUAAUCUCUACGGCAGGAACCGUGUUUUGCUACAUCAUAUCUUGCUUGAUGGGACUUUGCAUGCACACGGACCAUGGAACUCACUCAUGGAAGUGGAAAUUGGAUACCUAGAAUUCAAAAGAUCAUGUGUGGUUCUGCUGCUGCAGGAUGAUGAUGGCCUCCUUCAUCGGCUCAGUGUUUGCCGCAACAACUUGAGUAAGAGUGCCUGCUACGGCUGAUCCAGGAUAGGCCCAAAGAGAAGAUCCAUAUGGUGUACAUACAAAUUAUUGCCAAGUGACUUAAGUUGUUUUUAUUUUUUUAGUGCAAGGAGUAAUGAGCACAAAUAUAUAUGUGAUCUUUGACAACAAUAUUAUUUUCUUAGUGAUAUAUUUAAAUUAAUGCUUAGACAUAUUGAGCUCUUCAUCGAUCUAUGUAUCACAUGAAUACAUUAGAGUUCCUUAUAAGUGUUGACUAUA
Molecule: long non-coding RNA, 2794 nt
Organism: Lolium rigidum
Lineage: Eukaryota; Viridiplantae; Streptophyta; Magnoliopsida; Poales; Poaceae
Exons: 11
Source: RefSeq, a predicted model, not a curated record